RNAcentral lists this ribosomal RNA (344 nucleotides) under uncultured bacterium. RNAcentral describes it as "bacterial SSU rRNA". It matches the Rfam family "Bacterial small subunit ribosomal RNA", at positions 32 to 355 of the family's 1533-position model. The record is from RNAcentral.
AAUCAACGCUGGCGGCGUGCCUCAGACAUGCAAGUCGAACGCGAAAGUUUCCUUCGGGGAGCGAGUAGAGUGGCGCACGGGUGAGUAACACGUAGGUAAUCUACCUUCGGAUGGGGAAUAACAAUCGGAAACGGUUGCUAAUACCGCAUAAUGCAGCGGCACCUAAUGGUGACAGUUGUUAAAGCGGAGGAUCGUAAGACCUCGCGUCUGAAGAGGAGCCUGCGGCGGANAGUCUUGUUGGUAAGGUAAUGGCUUACCAAGGCGACGAUCCGUAACCGGCCUGAGAGGGCGGUCGGUCACACUGACACUGACAUACGGGUCAGACUCCUACGGGAGGCAGCAGU